GAUGAACGCUGGCGGCGUGCCUAAUACAUGCAAGUCGAGCGAACAGACGAGGAGCUUGCUCCUCUGACGUUAGCGGCGGACGGGUGAGUAACACGUGGAUAACCUACCUAUAAGACUGGGAUAACUUCGGGAAACCGGAGCUAAUACCGGAUAAUAUAUUGAACCGCAUGGUUCAAUAGUGAAAGACGGUUUUGCUGUCACUUAUAGAUGGAUCCGCGCCGCAUUAGCUAGUUGGUAAGGUAACGGCUUACCAAGGCAACGAUGCGUAGCCGACCUGCAAGGGUGAGCGGCCACCCUAGAUGUGAGACACGCUCCAGCCUCGUACGGUAGGCAGCAGUAGGGAAUCUUCCGCAACGGGCGAAAGCCUGACGGAGCAACGCCGCGUGAGUGAUGAAGGUCUUCGGAUCGUAAAACUCUGUUAUUAGGGAAGAACAAAUGUGUAAGUAACUAUGCACGUCUUGACGGUACCUAAUCAGAAAGCCACGGCUAACUACGUG
This 497-nucleotide ribosomal RNA is filed under the name uncultured bacterium. Its description in RNAcentral is "partial 16S ribosomal RNA". It matches the Rfam family "Bacterial small subunit ribosomal RNA", at positions 28 to 507 of the family's 1533-position model. The record is from RNAcentral.